GGCGACCAAACCAAAGUACCAAACCUCUGAGGAUCUGAGACGGCAAACAGAGAAUGGAUGCCUGAAGCACAGGAGGUUGGGCGUGUUCACAGCCUGCAAGACAAGGAGUAGGGAGGUAAGACACCCGGAUCUGGAGAGGUCAGUUUGUUCAUUGCUCUGCAGGUUUCACAUCAUCGUACUUCCAGCCGAUCAGAAGCCAGGAGGAUGCUGGAAGUAAAAGGUACCACGUUGAGUUUUUUGCAGAGCAGGUCAAAGUAUAAAGCUUCCAAAUGAAAUAAUUACUGAAUAAAUAUUUACUUGGGUUUAACUGGAGCUUUCCCCUGUAAUUAAGACUUAACACUUCACUUUAAAUCCCCCAUUUAACGUUUCUAACCGACUCUGAUGCAGCUGUGAGCAGAUCCAAGAACACGUCUCAAUUUUUAGCGUCUGUUCCACAUAUUUUCUAUUAUUCCAUCCCGUGGUUCAUCACUAGUUCAUCCAGCAGCCGACGCUGAUAAACACUGGGAUCUGGUCACAGCUGCAUCAGAGUCUGUCAGAAACCGGUUAUCACGUCUUGAUCUCCAUGAUAAAUGUUACUGACUUAAAAAGGUUUUCUUGUAAAAAUGUAGUUCAUCACACCAAGACCUUACUGCACAGCGCCCCCUGGUGGUCAGACCUUUGACAGUUUUUCUUCUGCAUCACUGGUCAUCAACGCUUUUACAGCUCAAACGCAUUUAACUCUACAAACCUGUAAAAACUAAUGAAACCAAAACUUAGGUUUUUUAAUUUCCUACAAUUUUACAAUAUUUUUCUAAAAAGAACUAACUUAUUACUGAUUCUACUGGAAGAUGGCAAUUUAAAUUUAAAUGAGGUCAAUAAAAAGAAAUUUCUUAAUUUCUAAAAUAGAGAUUUGUCACGAGCAUAUUUCAGAAACUUGCCCAUAAACAAAACCUUCACGCAGGCGUUAGAGGUGAUGCUACAGACCGGGGCUGUCGCUUUUUCCUGCAACUGCAUUUUUUAAAAAUGAAAAACAUCUGUUCUAUUCUUGGUGUUUCCGUCCAGGGUUUAGGUUAAUCACAUUGAUUUUUAUUGAGCUUUUCCUCAAGGACAAAGUGAAGCUCUGGGUUUUUGACACAAUGAGCUGAAAACCAUCGUUAUAUCCUGCUCAAGGUCUCAGUGAUGUUCGUGUUGUGUGACUCACCUCUGGAGGAGGCUCGUCAUUAUGUCUUGCUGGCGUUCUCGUAGAUGACAUCAGAGGUGAUGGACUGCUGCUUCUUCUUCUGCCACAUCAACAGGACACACUGAUGGAUGAACACGUACUGCUCCUGCAGAGAGGAAAUCACAGCCUGAAACUGACCUGAAAACGAUCUGGCCCUAAAGCCGUUUCUCUGGAGUCCUCACCUCAGUCUGGACCAUGGACAGGCGGUGCGAUCGCAUUUCAGACACCAUGCCCAGGAUAUCGGCGAACUCGUGUUCUCUGAU
Xiphias gladius (swordfish) is the source of this 1461-nucleotide long non-coding RNA. RefSeq lists it as uncharacterized. Lineage: Eukaryota; Metazoa; Chordata; Actinopteri; Istiophoriformes; Xiphiidae. The record is from RefSeq and is a predicted model, not a curated record. The transcript has 3 exons.